GGCACUACGGUGCUGAAGCAACAAAUGCCCUGCUUCCAGGAAAAGCCUCUAAGCAUCAGGUAACAUCAAAUCGUACCCCAAACCGACACAGGUGGUCAGGUAGAGAAUACCAAGGCGCUUGAGAGAACUCGGGUGAAGGAACUAGGCAAAAUGGUGCCGUAACUUCGGGAGAAGGCACGCUGAUAUGUAGGUGAAGUCCCUCGCGGAUGGAGCUGAAAUCAGUCGAAGAUACCAGCUGGCUGCAACUGUUUAUUAAAAACACAGCACUGUGCAAACACGAAAGUGGACGUAUACGGUGUGACGCCUGCCC
Molecule: ribosomal RNA, 310 nt
Filed under: Escherichia coli
Lineage: Bacteria; Pseudomonadati; Pseudomonadota; Gammaproteobacteria; Enterobacterales; Enterobacteriaceae
Description: partial 23S ribosomal RNA
Rfam family: Bacterial large subunit ribosomal RNA
Source: RNAcentral